UUUAUUAACUUGCUACCUCUUUUGCUGGAGCAUCCGUGGAAACCGUUAACUAGUCGUCAGUCAUUUUCUUUCGCGACUCCAAUCCGGUAAUCUAAAAAUCCAGCAAAAUGCAGUCCCUCCUCAAAGUCGCGUUGUGUCUUCUUCUUGCUGUAACUCUGGUUUUUGCCCAAACGGCGCCCGCAGCUCUUGACGGAGGUAACACAGAGGGAAUAGAAAAAGGUGGAGUAAGUAUUAAGGUCUGCGCCAAAUGUAUCGAUGAAUGUCAGGCCGUCGGUAACCCAUUGGAAUACUGUGAAAUCCAGCGGUGUGCAAGUUUUUGCCGAGCAACAUAAAAUUAUGGUUUCUUAUCCGGGCUUAUCCUGCAGUGCCUAGACGGCGAGUCAACGUUGAUUAACUACCGUUGAUUAAUCACCGUCGUUGACCCUCUCGACACUCAACUGAAAAAUCAGUCAUCACCAACUCGAUCAAACUAAUUGAUCAUCCUCACCAAGUAAUAAUUCUGUAAAUCAAGUAAUCAAGAUCUCGCGACUCUCAAAAAGGCUGGCACCAAACUCCGCUUUGAUAUUUCGAUCUACCACGUCUACUUCAACAAUGCCAUGUUAAAAAGAUCGAAACUCAAAUAAUAAAUAAAUUUGACCCGAA
Non-coding RNA from Bemisia tabaci, 642 nucleotides. Lineage: Eukaryota; Metazoa; Arthropoda; Insecta; Hemiptera; Aleyrodidae. The record is from RefSeq and is a predicted model, not a curated record.